CCCUACGGGGCGCAGCAGGCGCGAAAACUUUACAAUGCGGGAAACCGUGAUAAGGGAACACCGAGUGCCAGCAUCAUAUGCUGGCUGUCCAGAUGUGUAAACUACAUCUGUUAGCAAGGGCCGGGCAAGACCGGUGCCAGCCGCCGCGGUAACACCGGCGGCCCGAGUGGUGACCGUUAUUAUUGGGUCUAAAGGGUCCGUAGCCGGUUUGGUCAGUCCUCCGGGAAAUCAGAUAGCUUAACUGUUAGGCUUUCGGGGGAUACUGCCAGGCUUGGAACCGGGAGAGGUAAGAGGUACUACAGGGGUAGGAGUGAAAUCUUGUAAUCCCUGUGAGACCACCUGUGGCGAAGGCGUCUUACCAGAACGGGUUCGACGGUGAGGGACGAAAGCUGGGGGCACGAACCGGAUUAGAUACCCGGGUAGUCCCAGCCGUAAACUAUGCUCGCUAGGUGUCAGGCAUGGCGCGACCGUGUCUGGUGCCGCAGGGAAGCCGUGAAGCGAGCCACCUGGGAAGUACGGCCGCAAGGCUGAAACUUAAAGGAAUUGGCGGGGGAGCACAACAACGGGUGGAGCCUGCGGUUUAAUUGGACUCAACGCCGGACAACUCACCGGGAACGACA
RNAcentral lists this ribosomal RNA (620 nucleotides) under uncultured archaeon. RNAcentral's name for it is "bacterial SSU rRNA". It matches the Rfam family "Archaeal small subunit ribosomal RNA", at positions 321 to 941 of the family's 1478-position model. The record is from RNAcentral.